This 530-nucleotide ribosomal RNA is filed under the name uncultured bacterium. Its description in RNAcentral is "bacterial SSU rRNA". It matches the Rfam family "Bacterial small subunit ribosomal RNA", at positions 8 to 533 of the family's 1533-position model. The record is from RNAcentral.
AGAGUUUGAUCAUGGCUCAGGAUGAACGCUAGCGGCAGGCCUAAUACAUGCAAGUCGAACGGUAACAUGAGAGCUUGCUCUUGAUGACGAGUGGCGCACGGGUGCGUAACGCGUAUGCAACCUACCCUUUACUGGGGGAUAGCCCGGAGAAAUCCGGAUUAAUACCCCAUGGUAUCCCGACCUCACAUGGGCGUCGGGAUUAAAGAUUUAUUGGUAAAGGAUGGGCAUGCGUGACAUUAGUUAGUUGGUAAGGUAACGGCUUACCAAGACGAUGAUGUCUAGGGGUUCUGAGAGGAAGGUCCCCCACACUGGUACUGAGACACGGACCAGACUCCUACGGGAGGCAGCAGUAGGGAAUAUUGGGCAAUGGAGGCAACUCUGACCCAGCCAUGCCGCGUGCAGGAAGACAGCUUUCUGAGUUGUAAACUGCUUUUAUAUAGGAACAAAGAGGCCAUGCGUGGCAAGUUGCGUGUACUAUAUGAAUAAGCACCGGCUAACUCCGUGCCAGCAGCCGCGGUAAUACGGAGGGU